Molecule: ribosomal RNA, 497 nt
Filed under: uncultured bacterium
Lineage: Bacteria
Description: partial 16S ribosomal RNA
Rfam family: Bacterial small subunit ribosomal RNA
Source: RNAcentral
GAUGAACGCUGGCGGCGUGCCUAAUACAUGCAAGUCGAGCGAACGGACGAGAAGCUUGCUUCUCUGAUGUUAGCGGCGGACGGGUGAGUAACACGUGGAUAACCUACCUAUAAGACUGGGAUAACUUCGGGAAACCGUAGCUAGUGCCGGAUAAUAUUUUGAACCGCAUGGUUCAAAAGUGAAAGACGGUCUUGCUGUCACUUAUAGAUGGAUCCGCGCUGCAUUAGCUAGUUGGUAAGGUAACGGCUUACCAAGGCAACGAUGCAUAGCCGACCUGAGAGGGUGAUCGGCCACACUGGAACUGAGACACGGUCCAGACUCCUACGGGAGGCAGCAGUAGGGAAUCUUCCGCAAUGGGCGAAAGCCUGACGGAGCAACGCCGCGUGAGUGAUGAAGGUCUUCGGAUCGUAAAACUCUGUUAUUAGGGAAGAACAUAUGUGUAAGUAACUGUGCACAUCUUGACGGUACCUAAUCAGAAAGCCACGGCUAACUACGUG